This is a long non-coding RNA of Pollicipes pollicipes, 668 nucleotides long. RefSeq lists it as uncharacterized. The transcript is spliced from 3 exons. Lineage: Eukaryota; Metazoa; Arthropoda; Thecostraca; Pollicipedomorpha; Pollicipedidae. The record is from RefSeq and is a predicted model, not a curated record.
AAAGAUGAGACAAAAGGACUGCUGGGAAAUAACAUGCGACCGCUGCAGCCGGUACACCACAGGACUGUGCGCACCAACGUCAACUUCUCCAAUGCUGGACAGAAACUGUGUCCGUCCAUGCAACAUCAGAUGUUCUACAAAGCCAACUGGCCAGGUCGGUGACCUGCGCACCGACGACAGCCGCGGCCUCGGAGCGGAGCCAUGCGGGUCUUAGAUGCGAACUCAACAGCGGCGAGUUAUUUUGUCCCAGGUGUAUUGAAUGCACUGUGCUGUUCAUAUCAUGGAGCGUUGUGGCAGGUAUUGCCUUUUUGUAGCAAUAAAUGUGCGUAAGUGUGAGACAGUUGAUGUGGCUGUGUGUGCAAUGUUACUUGAAACACUUGUGCGGCCGUUGAUGUUGCUGUGUGUGCUAGACGAUUGGAAACAUGUAUACGGCGUCCCGAAACCUUGAGUUUCAUUUCCAGUAAUGCUAAAUAACCAGGAAACCAGCUUCUACAAUGUCUCUUUAAAUUACCGAGUCAUCGGUUUCAAAAAGGUGUCAAAGGAUAUCACUGUCCGACAUUCUCAUAAUUUAGCCGUGUGCCAUGUUAUCACAACAGUUGCGGGGUGUACUUUAACAAAAUGCUAUUAUUUCCGUGUCUGGAAGAAUAAUAUGGAUAAAGUUGGUUGUA